This 40973-nucleotide long non-coding RNA is filed under the name Pelobates cultripes (western spadefoot toad). Lineage: Eukaryota; Metazoa; Chordata; Amphibia; Anura; Pelobatidae. The record is from RNAcentral.
GUCCUUCCUCCCCAGUGGCAGUGUGUACCCCAGGGAGCUGAAGGUGCCGUCCUUCCUCCCCAGCGGCAGAGUGUCCUGCAGGGAGCAGAGACCGUCAGUCUCGCACCCCAACCACAGGACAAAAUAAUGAAAGGGGAGACAGCUGGUCCCCCUCUCCACCAACAGAGAGAGUGUCAGGGAGAGGAGCCUGAUACCCCCUCUCCCCAGCGGCAGUUUACAGUUCAGAGAGAGGAGCUUGUUACACCCUCUCUCCAGCGGCAGCCUAACCCAGCAAGGGGAGAUGUGGAGCAGAGCAGUUGUAAAAUAGGAGAAAGAAAAGUUAUAGGCAGGGUAAAGAGAGAAUUGUUGUUGGCUAAUAAUAAUAAGUGGGCUUACUUUUGUACAUUGCCAUAAGGAAGGUAAAAGAAAAGCAUAAAAAAAGGGGAUAAAAAGGAAACUAUAUAAAAAAAGGGAAGAAAAAUAGAAACAGGGGAUAAAAUAAAGGAAGAGAGUACUUGUAAAAAAGGGAGAAAGAAGGAGCAGAGUACUUGUAGAAUAGAAAAAAGAAGGAGCAGAGUAUUUGUAGAAUAGGAGAAAGAAGGAGCAGAUUACUUGUAGAAUAGAAGAAAGAAGGAGCAGAGUAUUUGUAGAAUAGAAUAAAGAAGGAGCAGAGUACUUGUAGAAUAGUAGAAAGAAGGAACAGAUUACUUGUAGAAUAGAAGAAAGAAGGAGCAGAGUAUUUGUAGAAUAGAAUAAAGAAGGAGCAGAGUACUUGUAGAAUAGGAGAAAGAAGGAGCAGAUUACUUGUAGAAUAGAAGAAAGAAGGAGAAGAGUAUUUGUAGGAUAGAAUAAAGAAGGAGCAGAGUACUUGUAGAAUAGGAGAAAGAAGGAGCAGAUUACUUGUAGAAUAGAAGAAAGAAGGAGCAGAGUAUUUGUAGAAUAGGAGAAAGAAGGAGCAGAGUACUUAUAGAAUAGAAGAAAGAAGGAGCAGUGUAUUUGUAGAAUAAGAGAAAGAAGGAGUAGAGCACUUGUAAAAAGGAGAAAGAAGGAGCAGAGUACUUGUAGAAUAGGAGAAAGAAGGAGCAGAGUACUUGUAAAAUGGAGAAAUAAGGAGCAGAGUACUUGUAGAAUAGGAGAAAGAAGGAGCAGAGUUCUUGCAAAAAGGAGAAAGAAGGAGCAGAGUACUUGUAAAAAAGGAGAAAGAAGGAAAAUAAAAAAUAUAAAAAGGAAAAGGAGAGAAUUGUUGUUGGCUAAUAAUAAUAAGUGGGCUACCUUGCUCAGCCUUCCUGCUGGGCAUUGCUAUAAGAAAGGUAAAAAAAUAGAAAAAAGGAAAAAAAAAAGGUGGGGGGUAAUUGAGGAGGGAGAGGAGGGGAGCUGAUGCACGAAUGAGAAAUCAUAUUAUGAGCAAACAGAGAAGUCGUCUGAAUAUCACCGAAAGAGGAGACCUUGGUUUGUUCCUUACGAAAAUUGAACCAGAUAUCAAAUAUUUAGUCUCGCAGCAUCAACCUCAAGGAUCUCAUUAAUCACUUGUAAAGGUAAUUUCAAUUUACUUUGUUUUCUCAUUAAACUUUAUAAAGUUAAAAACAUUAUAAACAUGCAUAAAGUAGAAAUAAAAAGAUAAAUGUACGUAUACCCUCCUUUCUAAAAAAUAUUCUGCACUUGCGCGAAAAUUCGUGGGCGGUAAAGAAAUUUUUCCAUCAAGAAAGAUGCCUUAGUGGGAGGUAGGUAGAAAAAGGUUGACUACCCCUGCUGUACACAGACACAAACACACAUACACAGUCACAACAUACAAAAUCACACAAUUACACACACAGCCACAUGCAUACCUAGACAGUACACAAUACAAUAAACACACUGUCACACAUACACACAGUCAUAUAGAUGCCGUAUUAGUCACAUAUGCAGUCACACACACAUACACAUGGUCACACACACAGUCAGUCACAUACUUACAAGGUAUAAGUAACAACAGUCACCCAGAGUCACAUACACGCAGUCCUUGUUGUCUUGAUCACUGGGAGGAGGAAAGGAGGCCAUGGUCCCUGGUGAUUAGUAGCAGGGAAGCAGGCAUUCCUCUCUGUAGAGCGGCAGCUCUAAAAUUGUUGAGAACCUCUUAAACAGUGUAAAGGUUGUCUCUAUAAACUAAUUUGCAUAUUUUUUGUUAUGCAACACUUCUAUGUAAAAUAUUUGUCCUUGUUUCAGUUUGCUGUAAAUGUACAAUGAUAACCAAAGAAAAAAGUUAUUUGCGCUCUGUCCCAAAUCUCUAUGCACAUUUAAAUAUCUGGAGGUUUUUUAGUAUCACUCCAAUGGCCAUUUAAGUAUAAGCUUACUUGCGACACACACAUUUGUAUAUGUACAGUGAUGCAUACAACCUGUAUAUACAGUACAUUAUAGCCCUUGGCUUGUACAUUAAUAUGUAUGCAUACAAAUCCACAGACCAUAUCUCAUAAAUACAUAGACAUACACAAAUUCACAUACUUACACAGACACACGCCAUUACAUGCAUAGGCACACGUCAAUAUAGACAGUCACAUAGAUACAUACCGGGUCAUCUACUAAAGUGAAAAUUGUUCGGAAUUCAAAGUGUAAUCCAUAUUUAAGGCCAGAUGCCAACAUACCAGAGUAUUGCAGUAUGCAGUGAUACCUUUUUUAUUGGAUUAAUGUAAUAUUUGAAAGACAAGCUUUUGAGAGUUUUCAUCUUUUCCUCAGUUCUGAAACAAUACUCAGAAUCAUAUUUAAGGCCAAAAUAGUCAAACUGGAAGCAUAGCCGACUUUGAAGUUGUCCACGCAGGUUUCCUUGUGGCCCGGUACUUAUAUAGGAACCUGUAUGAAAACAACAAUAAAAGAGGGCCAUUCUCAAACAGACUUUAGUACCUCCAGUUUUUUGUCAAACUUAUUUUUAAGAUAUUCUUAUGCGUAAAUGAGUUUGUUAUGCCCCAUAACCAUAAACUUAUUUUGUCUUUUGAAUUUAAAAAAUCUCUCCAUGAACCAAAAGGUAACAGAAAUUCAUGUGGUUAUGGAAUAUGGAGUAUCCAUUUUAAAGUAACACUCCAAGUACUAUAACCAGUGCAGCAUGCCAGAGGUGCAUGUCUUAAUUCAUUGGAUGAGAGAGAUCAGCCGAUGCUCUCCACCACAGAACUGACCCCAACACUGCAGGGUUUAGCUUAAGAAAGCUAACGGAGGCAGGGAGCAGCACCCGACAGACCCCAGGUAAGAAGUCAAACUAUUCCAAAACAGUUUGACUACUUAUAAUGAGAGGACCCAUGGCAUGCCUGUCACCAUAAUCACUGCAGUGUGCUAUAGUGGUUAUGGUGUUUGUAGUGUUCUUUUCAUUUAUACUAUGUAUGACCUACUUAAUUUCUUAAUACAUGCACAAUUUGUGUUAGCGUAAGGACUUGUUAAGCAAAUCUUACCCUAUAUCAUUUUAAUCUAAGAUACUGCUGUACUGAUUCUGUAAGGUGCUGUUAUAUAUGAUCCAUCAAUGUUUCAUAUAACGUAAUGGCAAAUAAUAUGUUUCUCCCCUGGAUACUUUAGCAAGAAAUAAACCAUUACUUUGAUUAAUCUGAAAUCCAUGAAAUAAUACUAUACUAUUAUUGUGAGACUCAUGUAGGGUGUAGAAAUGGAUAUGUAAGAGUAUAAGGAAGUUGACUGCUGACUAAUAUAUUUUGUGGCCAUGAAGUCCCAUUGAUCAUAGAGGUGUGCAAUCUGCUUGAGAAGCAUAUAAAAGGAGAGAAUCUUCUUGAUCUUCAUGCAGAAUUUCUUUCACGCACAUUUCUUUAUUAGCUAUACAUGUCUGUUCUGUUGUUAUAAUAGGAAUAUUGCUGUUUUAUAUACUUAGUGCAGGUAGGAUAGAAAACUUGCAAGUAUUACCAUCAGUGAUGUCCCGAACGGUUCGCUGGCAAAUAGUUCCUGGCGAACAUCGAUUGUUCGCGUUCGCCACUGAUGGUGAACAUAUGCGCUGUUCGGUCCGUCCCCUAUUCGUCAUCAUUGAGUAAAUUUUGACCCUGUACUUCACAGUCAGCAGACACAUUCCAGCCAAUCAGCAGCAGACCCUCCCUCCCAGCCCCUCCACCUCCUGGACAGCAUCCAUUUUACAUUCAUUGUGAAGCUGCAUUCUUAGUGAGAGGAGGGACAGUGUAGCUGCUGCUGAUUUGAUAGGGAAAUUGAUAGGCUAGUGUAUUCAGUGUCCACUACAGUCCUGAAGGACUCAUCUGAUCUCUGCUGUAAGGCUGUCUAGCCCUUUUUAGGGCUAGAACAUCAGUCUGCUUUUUUUUUCUGUGUAAUGUAAUUGCAGUUGCCUGCCUGCCAGCCUGUGUGUCAGGCUCACAGCAUAUACAGUGCCCACUUGCCCAUGCUUGCAUUUAAAAAAAAAAAAAAAAACUUUUUUGACUGUAAUAUAAUAGCAGUCACUUUCCUUCACUAGUGUGCGUUUCAGGGCCUGCCCAGUGCCACCACUCACUCACUGGUGUCACAAUAGCUUGCAUUUAAAAAAAACAAAAAACACUUUUUUGACUGUAAUAUAAUAGCAGUCAGUUUCCUUCACUAGUGUGCAUUUCAGCCAUUAUUUCCAGAGGAUGUAGAUAACAGGGAUAUGUCUCAGUCAGGCAGCAUUACACACAUGGACGUACGGUGUGAUGAUGAUGAUGUUGCACCCGCUGCUGCUUCCUUUGCUGAGUUGUCAGAUACAAGUUGAUGAUAACGAUGCAUCGGUGGAUGUCACGUGGGUGCCCGCUAGAAGAGAAGAAGAACAGGGGGAAAGUUCAGAUGGGGAGACAGAGAGGAGGAGGAGGAGACGAGUUGGAAGCUGGGGGAGGUCGUCACAAGGAGCUAGUAGCACAGUCAGACAGCAUGCAUCGGCACCCGGGGUCAGCCAGACAGCACGCCAAUCAACGCAUGCUGUGUCCACCAUCAGAAUGUCGUCAUUGAAGAGCUCAGCAGUGUGGAAUUUUUUUUGUGUGUCUGCCUCUGACAACAGCGAUGCCAUUUGCAACCUGUGCCAAAAGAAACUGAGUCAUGGGAAGUCCAACACCCACCUAGGUACAACUGCUUUGCGAAGGCACAUGAUCGCACAUCACAAACGCCUAUGGGAUCAACACAUGAGUACAAGCAGCACACAAACUCAAAGCCGCCAUCCUCCUCCUGGUCCAGCAUCUUCAGCCACGUUAACCACUGCUGUCCUCCUUGCCCCCUCUCAACCAUCCGCCCCUCCGUCUCUCGCCUUGAGCAGUUCCUGCUCAUCUGCCCACAGUCAGGUGUCUGUCAAGGACAUGUUUGAGCGUAAGAAGCCAAUGUCACAAAGUCACCCACUUGCCCGGCGUCUGACAGCUGGCUUGACUGAACUCUUAGCCCGCCAGCUUUUACCAUACAAGCUGGUGGAGUCUGAGGCGUUCAAAAAAUUUGUAGCUAUUGGGACACCACAGUGGAAGGUACCCGGACUAAAUUUCUUUGCACAAAAGGCAAUCCGCAAACUGUACUCGAUUGUGCAAAAGGAAGUAAUGGCAUGUCUUGCACACAGUGUUGGGGCAAGGGUCCAUCUGACCACUGAUACCUGGUCUGCAAAGCAUGGUCAGGGAAGGUAUAUCACCUACACUGCGCAUUGGGUAAACCUGCUGACAGCUGCCAAGCAUGGAAUGCGUGGCUCUGCAGAGGAGUUGGUGACACCGCCACGACUUGCACGCAGGCCUGCUGCCACCUCCUCUACUCCUCCUACUCCAUCCUCUUCCAAAACCUCCUUUGCUUAGUCCUCUUCUGCUGCUGCGUCUUGCUCCACAUCAACGGCACCCCCCCAGCUCCCCAGGUACUAUUCCACAUCCCGGAUACGGCAGUGUCAUGCCGUCUUGGGGUUGACUUGCCUGAAAGCAGAGAGUCACACCAGACCAGCACUCCUGUCCGCCCUGAACGCACAGGUGGAUCAGUGGCUGACUCCGCACCAACUGGAGAUCGGCAAAGUGGUUCCUGACAACAGAAGAAAUUUGUUGGCAGCAUUGCAUUUGGGCAAGUUGACACAUGUGCCAUGCAUGGCACAUUUGUGUAAUCUGAUCGUACAACGCUUUGUGCAUAAGUACCCAGGCUUACAGGACGUCCUGAAGCAGGCCAGGAAGGUGUGUGGCCAUUUCAGGCGUUCCUACAUGGCCAUGGCGCUCUUUUCAGAUAUCCAGCGGCGAAAAAACAUGCCAGUGAGGCGCUUGAUUUGCGACAGCCCGACACGUUGGAAUUCAACACUCCUAAUGUUCAACCACCUGCUCCAACAAGAAAAAGCCGUUAACGAGUAUUUGUAUGACCGGGGUGCUAGGACAGCCUCUGCGGAGCUAGGAAUUUUUUUGCCAUGUUACUGGACGCUCAUGCGCAAUGCCUGUAGGCUCAUGCGUACUUUUGAGGAGGUGACAAACCUAGUCAGUCGCACAGAAGGCACCAUCAGCGACAUCAUACCAUUUGUUUUCUUCCUGGAGCGUGCCCUGCAAAGAGUGCUGGAUCAGGCCGUAAAUGAGUGUGAAGAGGAAGAGUUGUGGUCACCAUCACCACCAGAAACAGCCUUAUCAGCAUCGCUUGCUGGACCUGCGGCAACGCUGGAAGAGGAUUGUGAGGAAGAGGAGUCAGAGGAGGAAUGUGGCUUUGAGGAGGAGGAGGAAGACCAACCACAACAGGCAUCCCAGGGUGCUCGUUGUCACCUAUCUGGUACCCGUGGUGUUGUACGUGGCUGGGGGGAAGAACAUAUCUUCAGUGAGAUCACUGAGGAUGAGGAACAGGACAUGAGCAGCUCGGCAUCCAACCUUGUGCAAAUGGGGUCUUUCAUGCUGUCGUGCCUGUUGAGGGACAUUCGUAUAAAAAGGCUGAAGGAGAACGACCUGUACUGGGUGUCCACGCUACUAGACCCCCGGUAUAAGCAGAAAGUGCCUGAAAUGUUACCGAAUUACGGCAAGUCGGAAAGGAUGCAGCAGUUCCAAAAUCAAUUAAAAAGUAUGCUUUACACAGCGUAUAAGGGCGAUGUCACAGCACAACGGGAAUCUAACAGGGGAAGAGGUGAAAGUAAUCCUCCUCCUCCCACGACCACGCCAGCAAGGAUAGGAUGCAUUACAGACAUGUUGUUGAUGGAGGACAUGCGGAGCUUUUUAAGUCCUAUGCAUCGCCACAGCCCUUCGGGGUCCACCCUCAGAGAACGACUCGACCAACAGGUAGCAGACUACCUCGCCUUAACUGCAGAUAUCGACACUCUGAGGAGCGAUGAACCCCUUGACUACUGGGUGUGCAGGCUUGACCUGUGGCCUGAGCUAUCCCAAUUUGCGAUAGAACUUCUGGCCUGCCCCGCUUCAAGUGUCCUGUCAGAAAGGACCUUCAGUGCAGCAGGAGGUAUUGUCACUGGAAGAGAAGUCGCCUAGGUCAAAAAAGUCUAGAUUACCUCACCUUUAUUAAGAUGAAUGAGGGAUGGAUCCCGAAGGGACUGACAGUGGGCGAUACAUUCGACUAAAAAAGGCCUGAUGAGGGGGACGUAACAGGGUGUCGCGGCUGCCGGCCCGCCGCGUGAUAUUUAAAUCCCUAGCUCACCCCAGUACCUUGCCCUGUCGUGUUUCCUGUUCCUGGUUUCCUGAGAUUGCUUUAUCAUUGUGAAUCUGAUUUCCUGGUAUCCUGAUCUUGGCUUUUCCCUGGUUAUUCUGAAUUCUGGUUUCCCUGACUUGGCUUGUGUAAACGGUAUUGUGUAUUUUCUGGCUUCCUUGACCUCGGCCUUCACUUUGACCAUUCUCUGUCUCUAGCACAUUAGUCCGGCCAUUCUAAGGUCCGGUUUACGCUCUGUCCUUUUAUUUUCCUUUUCUUGCCUAUGUAUAUGUUUACAUAGUUUCUGCGUGCUGGACCACACUAGUAGUCGUGACAUUGGGAUUAAACUGAUAAGAAUAGUACUACUUAACACACCACUCCUAUCUGGUGGCACAUUAGAUUGCACGCGCAGUGCCCCAAAUUUGAAGUAGGAGGACCGACCAAGCAUCUUUUUCCAUCUCCCGGUUCCUAAAAUCGAUGCCAUAUACACGUCCCCUGAUAGGGGACGUAACAGGGAUUAAACUGAUAGGAAUAAUACUACUUAACACACCUUAUAAUAACGCAGAGAGAGGCAACGCAGUGAGAGGAGUCUGAAGAAGAGGAGUCAGAGGAGGAAGGUGGCUUUGAGGAGGUGGAAGACCAAACACAGCAGGCGUCCCAGGGGGCUUGUUGUCACCCUUUGGGGGACCUUGGUGUUGUAUGUGGCUGGGUGGAGGAAGAGACCUUCAAUGACAUCAGUGAGGACAAGGAACGGGACAUGGCUAGCUUGGUAUCCAACCUUGUGCAAAUGGGGAGUUUGCGGUUGUGCAAAUGGACUGUUUGCGUUAAACGGGGAGUUUGGUCUGUCACUGUGAAGCGGGCGUAACCCUUACACUACCUGAUCGAUACAACAUCAUACCUGAUGUUUUAAAGCACGUUAUUCCAAACAAUUUAGGAAUGUUAGGUGAUUUAUGCCCUUUGUGGAUUAAAACCAGACUCUGCAUCAACUAUGUAAUUUUCCAUGGGAGUUUUGCCAUGGAUCCCGGCAUGCCACAGUCCAGGUGUUAGUCCCCUUGAAACAACUUUUCCAUCACUAUUGUGGCCAGAAAGAGUCCCUGUGGGUUUUAAAAUUCGCCUGCCUAUUGAAGUCUAUGGCGGUUCGCCCCGUUCGCGAACAUUUGCAGAAGUUCGCGUUCGCUGGUCGCGAACCGAAAAUUUUAUGUUCGCGACAUCACUAAUUACCAUUUAUUUAAAUGUUUGCACAUUGCUUUCUAUGAGAAGGUCCAGAGGUCCAUGGUCUUACCAGCAGUGAUUGUUGUAUGUACAAUGAAUUACUAAAAGCAAAAACCUCAAUAAUGAAAGUAUGCAGCGUAUUAUACAGUAAAGGCACUGGCAUCAGACUGAGGUUUGCAUGUGUCUCUGAAAUACAACUUCUAUAAUUACACUAUAUAUCAACCUAAUAGGGAAAAACAAUGCACAACGUAGUUCAUGCUACAGGAAAAAUGUCUGGUACUCUGGAAUACUUUGUGCAGAAUAAACACAAUCCUCAUCAUUUAAGUUUUAUUAAGAGAGAGAUCUAUCAAGAUUAGCUGUAAGCAUUUAUUAGUAUCAAGCAACAUCACAUAUUCAUAUGCUGAGCUGGCAGUCAAACCACAAACAUAAUUUAAGUCUGUGCCAGUUGAUAUCCUGCUAAUGGUCUCUCUGAGAUCAAGGGAGGUUAGAUUUCUGAUAGUCGAGAUAACCUACAUUGCACAUUGACAGUGCAGGUUAGAAGAUGGUCAGACAGAGGGAAAGCUGUUCUAACGGAUCGCCUGGCACCCCGACUGGGUGCCUCCGUUGAUGCUCCUAGUGCUUCCCGAGGGCUCCAAGCACUUCUCCAGACACCAUAAGCACUGCAGAUCAAACCUCUCUUCCUUCAGAGAGCGAAGCUGGAACAAGCUCUUAAAAUAGCUUAGUGAUCAUAGCUAGGGGAGUAUUGUGGCGAAACCGGCCUCGCCACGUGUCCUUGGAGGGGGCUGCUUGCCCGCCUCUUGCCUUUGGACUAUGGACCAGACUUUAUGUGAAGUUAUUAACCCAGAUAGCUAUGCCAUGGAGCCCAUUCGUGUAGUUAAAGACUUCGGCUCCAUGGCAAUUGAACUGUGUGAAUAGGAUCUGAGCGCUAUUCGGUAGUUUUGUGCGCUCAGAUCCCAGCUAUCUGGGGAUAUGUGACAUGUCUGUGUUUUAUGUAUAAAAUGUGACUUUAUGUAUUUUAAAGUGUUUUGUGUCUUUUUGCAACCAUGUGCUUAAUGGAGUCUUGUGUCUGUCCUGGGAGAUAAUUGAAUUACUCUCCAGGAUAGAAGACUCUGAAACUGGUUUGGGCCGGAAAGCCAUGCUUCAUUUAGUCACAAAGGACUUUCCCUUAACUUUUGAACCCCUGGUCUGAUUCAUGCCAUUUUUUAAUAUGUUGUUCCCAUGAAUGGAUUGAUCAUGAAAAUGUACGUUUUAUGUAUGUACGAUGUUUACUCACAAAGUUAUAAAAAUGUACAAAAAGUAACUUUUCAGCUUGGAGAUAAUUGAGUAGAUACAGUAAUUGACUCAAUUAUCUCCUAAGCAGAGGGGAGGAAUAUGCUGGGUGUGUUUCUAUUGUCCCAUUGUGUCUGAUUGGCUGCUGUACUUGCAUUGUAUGUGUUGUAAUGUGUUUAUUGGUGGUUCUGCAAAACCCUGUGGGCAGUACUAUGUUUUGUGGAUUGUAAUAAAAACCAGGCUGGGUGUGCCAGCACUAGAGUUCCUGUUUUAACCCUCAAAGUGAAGUGUUGUCUCAUUAUUGGGGGAAGGAUUUAUUGUAUGCUGUUCCAGUUUGACUGCUAGGAGAGUAAACCUAUUCGUAUGGUUCCUAUUCAACUGUCUACAGCAUUCAUAUGCUUGGGAGCAUUCACAUGCUCCUACGGUUCGGUGAUUGUGGUGUCUGCCAGAGUGCUUGGAGUCCUCAGGAAGCGCUAGGAGCAUCCUUCAACGGAGGUACCCAGUCGGGGUGCCAGGUGAUCCGUUACAAGUAUGUAGAGUAUAGCAAUCCCCCAGUGUAAAUGCAGCCUUUUCCCCCACACAUGAGAUGAAGCUCUAUGUUGAGGGUAAAACAGGAACUCAGCAGUCUGAGGGUUUAUUGGCACUUAUAUGCAACUUUUUACACAUGGUUUUGUGGCACAGCCAAUCAAACACGUACAAUUCAGUUAAACACUCCCAUUCAUUCCAGCAAAAUCCUCCCCUCUGCCUGUGAUAUAAUUACUGUACACAAUGGGUUAACAUAAUUAUCACAGGCAGGAAAAUACACAGUUUUAUACAAUAUUCAUAACUCACAAAAUAUACAUACAAUAUCCAUAAAUAUUACAUAUUAUUAAUUAGCAUACUUCAAAUAUACACAUAUCCAAAAAUCAGACAAUUCCCUCCAGUGGUUAAAAAGUUAGCCUUAGUCCUUUUGGACCUUUUUGACCGACUAUUUUCUCCUCUAUCCUGGAGAUAAUUGGCUUAAGUAACUGUAGUAAACUCAAUUAUAUCCAGGUACAGAAAAUAUCACCAAGUUACAACUGCAACAAAACACAUUAAAAUACAUAUAUUCUAAUAUUCUAUAGAACUGAACCCCCUGCAUUUGGAUCUGUAUAGCCGAACAGCACUCAGAUCCCACAAACACAGUCAAAUCGCCAUGGGGUUAAACAAUAGCAAGGGCUGAUGAGAGAUUGAGGAGGGACAAGGCAGCCAGUUUCAACUGGUAUGGCAGUGUCCCUGGGACAACGCCCUGCUGGAGAACAAUGGGACAGGAAACGGGGAAGGGGAAGAGGUACACCUUCCCAUGGAUUCAAAGGGGCAGAAAAAGUGUCCCAAAAUCCAAUAAGCCCAAACAGACUUUUUAAAUAGCAAUACUUCACUAGGCAAGAGACUGGCAAUUAAUCCUCCCCAGGCACAAGUGGCGAAGGGCACUUUGUCACAGCUGUGUUAGAGAAGUUAAAGACAGAGCAAAGAUUGGAAAAGGUCAAUGUGUGUAGGGAGAGUAAGGCUAAAAGAGUUGUGAUAGAAAUCUAGAUGUAAUUGAGUUGUUAGAUUGGUUAGCAAGGUUGUUGAAGUCACCAAAGAUGAGAGGAAUAAUGUCAAAGGAGAAAACAUAGGUAAACUAAGCUGAAACAUUAUCAAGAAAGAGUUGAGGAGAGACUGGAGGGCAGUGGGUAACAACAACAAAGGCAGAGAGAGCUUUGAAGAGAUCGAUCGAGUGGACUUCAAAAGAUGAAAAUUCUAAAGAAGGAAAAGGGGGCAAAGGACGGAAGGAACAAUAACUGGAGAGAAAAAAAACACACAGUACCACCCUUCAUAUCAUAUGCAGGGCCAGGUAUUGGGGUGUAUGCAUGCUGUCAGUUUGUGGCACUCUCCAGCAGUAACUCAUAUCGCCAACUAGUGUUAUAUUAGCUAUUCCUCUAAUGGCUGGUCUCCCAGGAAAGGCAUGCCCAGCUCCAGUUGUUCCCAUCGGCGCUGGUUGGUGGUCAGGAGGUCCUCACUCCGGAAGGGUCGAAUUUCGUCAAGGUCAUCCUUCCAGAUAUCGGUUCGAAGCGCCACCCUUCGAAUGCUUCUCUCUCUACUGGUAUAGGGUAAUCAGCACUGCACAUAAUCCCCUUGAAACUGCUGCUGGAGCUUUGUUUCAAAGUAGGAUACUGCCUGACGGUACGUGUCUUCCAUAUACCCACUUCCCGUAGGUAGGUGUCACCAAAGAUGCUCUGGUUUCCCAACUCACUAGGAAGCCAUCCCACUGCUUGCCACCAAUUGUAGUGGAGCUUCUUGUUCCCCGGCUGGGUAACUCCACCCAGGAUCGCAUCCUAGCUGGAACCGGGGAAAACUGACGCUCUUCUGUCCUAGUCUCUGCAGCUUGACUGGGGUCCUUCUGGGGCUAUUCCAGGCAGGUAUCCACCUCUGCUUGCAAUGUGAUUUCUAUUGCCUUUACAAAGGCACUUGCAGCUCUCAGGUCUAGUUCUCUUGAUUUAUCCUAGGGCUAGAGUGAUCAUGCAGCCAGCCAACAGGUACUACAACUCUGUAGCCUGGAUCCCUAAAAAUGAACAUAGGACACGUAAUGGAACUGACAUGCAAAAGUUCAUUUUUAUUUCUUGGGACUGGCCCAAAUGCUCCUUACAUGUAACUUAUGGUGACAAUUCAAUAAAAUUACAAAUAAUAAAAACAUAUCAGAAAACAUACAGGGAAUUAUAACAACACAAUAACAUAUCUUCUAAGGGGUGGGGAAAUCAAUAACCAACACAAACUAUCUUUCCUUCCUGCAAAAUUAGCAAUAUGCAAAUCUACCUGAAUAUGCAAAUUACCUAGCCUUGCUAUUCAUGUAGUGCACAUUGCUGUUGCUACCAACAGAGGGCACUUUACAGGCUCCAUAGCCAAAUCCAAUAGUUGGUAACAAGCAUCAGCAGGACAGGAGAGCACACAAAACAAUUAACAAUAUACAAACAAAUUAUGAACACCCUGCACCUAUAAUGAGUACAGGGUGACUUAGACAUAGGAAAAAUGUAGGAACCUUUGUAAAGUGUCCUUCUGCGCCCAGUAAUGGUGAUUACCAUCACAGAGACCUCUUGUUCAGAGACUGGGGGAAUGGAGUUAUGAGUGGAGUGGUUAAGAUGUAACAUACUUGAAGCUGAGUUUUAGUGGGGGAGAGUGGAGAUUUCUUUCCUAAUUUGGUUAAUAUUGCCAUUAAAGUGAUGUGCAAAAUUACUAGCUGUUAGGAUAAUUAAUGGUGGGAUUUCAGUGGCAUGAAGAAUGCAGUUAAAGUUAUGAAAUAUGCAUUUGGGAUGAGUGGUAAAGUACUUUUGUCUUCGCAAAGGAGAGGAUGUAAGUAGGCUCCCAAUAUAUGCAACCCCCACCUAACUUGACUAGUUAACAUGUCCUCCCAUUUAAAAACCUUCUUCUCUAAUACAUGUCUUACUAUCCCUUUCCCAUAUGUAUGUAUUUCAAGGCGGACUAUCAGACCUACAUUAACUUAUCAGAUAUGGCUUAUUCAAACUGAUAUCCAGCACCUCACAUAUAAUAUCAUUCCGAUGUGACCUUGAUUUGCUAAUUCACUGUAGCUUUGUUAUGUAGAACUUGUCAUUUUUUUUUUCUUUUUUAAGUUUCAUGUAUACUAAAUUCACUGUGCAGUACAAAUGGCUGGAAUGGUCAGUUAUGGAAGAGUUACAUUUUAAAAUAGCAUUCUAUGAUGCAUCAAAUCAAUCAGGAAAAAAAAUACUAGGUGGUAUGAUGAAUAUAUUCUUGGUGCUGUUGAUUUAUUAUCAUCCUUGCCAUCUAUGAGCAAUUAUCCUUCAGCUGCAGAUGACACUGUCUCUAAUGUACACUGAGCAGAAAAGUACAUUUUAUAAUGAGCUAUCAGGUUACAGAGCUUUUAACAAAGUGCAAUAAGACACUUACUGUGAAAAAUGCUAUUCCUGCAAACAGUAUAAUUAUCUAUAUACCACAUAUUAGCAUAUUAUUGUAUUACAAUUGUAGCGGAGAGCUGGUAUUACACAGCCUAUCUCCACUUUAGAUCCCAGUACGGCUCAGGAACAAGUAUGAUAAAUCCACAGAGUAAUAUUUCCAGCAGGCAAAAAGACUCCAACAAUAUCCCAAUCACAAUCCCAAUGACUGGAUGACACACAGCAUCAGGAGCAGAACUAAACUUUUAUUCACAGCAGUUCCUCAUAAAGGAUUCUCCCAUGCAAGGGAGGGAUUUCCAGUAAUUAUAACAGUAACCAAUAAUACAGUGGUUUCCUCCCAUACCUUCCCUCCCCUCAGAGUGACACUUAAUCCACUUAAUCCUGGUACCUUUUUCCCUGUUUCCUGGAUGUACCACAAAACUGUGGGGUACAAGGAUCUAAGUGGCAUCCCCUGGUAGCUCUGGUCUUGGUGACCAACAUACUCAAAAUUCACCCAGAUCAGACCAGGGGUUCGGGAGUUAUGGGGAAUAAACGAUUUGACCGACCGCACACGAAUAUGUAGCCAAAAAGAGUUCCAUGUGGUUUGGCCUUGCUGUCGGUCUACCUUCGGGAGGUAAAACAGUUAUUAAUCUUUGCCAUCCAUAGCUAAUACAGCGUUCGCAUGAACCCCGUUGUUCGUUAGAUUGAAUUCACCGAACGAGGGGUUGAUUGGCCCCUCUGUUCGUGAGUUCUGGAGCUCUGGAGGUCUCAGCAGUGUUCGGGUAAUUGAGUGUCCGAUUUGAGUUCCAGACACUCGACGACCAAACACCGCUGAGAGUUCGUGCGUAAGAUGGCCGCCGCCACGUGUUCGCCUACCGAAUGGCGGCCACCCAGAUAUGGCAAUAUAACACUGAUUAACUGUAGUUAGAGGAGUGUGAAAGCCUUAAUGAGGCGCACACUUCUCUCUGAGGUGGUCUAUUGAUUUGGUAGUUUCCAUUCGUAUGAAAUAUGAAGGAAACUACCGAACCAACAUACGAAUACACAUACAAUUUUCAAUUAUACAGUCAGUUAAACACACGAACAGUCUUUUUAAACAUAUUCCUGGUGGACAGUCCCAUGCCAUCCCCUACAACAAUAUUAUUAACGCUGGAAAUUUUAUUCUUAAUAGUUAGAUUUGAUAUCGAAACAAGAUAAUAAGGUGCAUAUUAUCCUAUUCCUGAUUGUUGCAUUUUGUUUCUGAACAAAAUACUACAUAGCAUAUGGCUCUUACAUGUCUGAAUCUUGUGUUUGUUUAUUCAUUGCGCCUAAUGGCAUGAAAGAGGAGCAAGUUUUUUUUUUACUAAGACCCUAUAGGCCAAUUGGUAGAUAAUUGCAUGGGAGCUCUAGUUUUAGGCAUUGGAUCUCACAAACACACAAGGGACUGUAUAAAGUAAAUGAACAGGGAAUGCAGUCUGUGUUUGUUUGUAAGGGGUUCUAGUGUAGGUGUGAUUAUAGAUUGUAUUGUGUGUGUUUGUACUGUGUCUAGAUCAGUGGUAGUCAACCUUUUUCUACCUACAGCCCACUAAUGCAACUUUGUUGAUGGAAAAAUUUCCUUACCGCUCACCAGUUUUCGAGCAAAUGCAGAAUAUUUUUUUAGAAAGGAGGGUGUUUAAAAAAAAAAAAAAUGUACGCACAUUAAUCUUUUUAUUUCUACUUUAUGCAUGUUUAUAAUGUUUUUAACUAAAUUUAAAUUACCUUUACUUUGAUUAAUGAGAUCCUUGAGGCUGAUGCUGCGGGACUAAAUAUUUGUUAUCUGGUUUGAAUUUUGUAAGGUACAAAUGAAGGUCUCCUCUUUCGGUGAUAUUCAGACGAUUUCUCUGUUUGCUCAUAAUAUGAUUUCUCAUCUGUGCAUCAGCUCCGCUCCUCUCCCUCCUCAAUUCCCCUCCCCACCUUUUUUCCCUUUUUUCUAUUUUUUAACCUUCCUUAUAGCAAUGCCCAGUAGGAAGACUGAGCCACUUACUAUUAUUAGCCAACAACAAUUCUCUCCUUUUCCUUCUUCCUCCUUUUUACAAGUACUCUGCUCCUUCUUUCUCCUAUUCUACAAGUACUCUGCUCCUUCUUUCUCCUUUUUACAAGUACUCUGCUCUUUCUUUCUCCUAUUCUACAAAUACUCUGCUCCUUCUUUCUUCUAUUUUAAGUACUCUGCUCACAGACAAACACAUACACACACUCACACAUACACUUACAGACACACACACUCACAGACAAACACACUCACACACACUUACAGACACACACAAACUCACAGAGAAACACAUACACACACAAACAUACACACACUCACACAUACACACAUACUUACAGACACACACACAUACACACACUCACACAUACACUUACAGACGCACAAACACUCACAGACAAACACACUCACACAUACACUUACAGACACACACACAUAUACUUACAGACACACACACGUACACACUCACAAAUACACUUACAGACACACAAAUUAUUAAUAUUAAAUGUCCACCCAGCCUCCCUAACCUGGAGAGCUGGUGUGGAUCUGUCCCUGGGGUCUAGUGGGGCUUCACUUCGGCAGGCGGCAGAGUUCUAACCCGAGGCGGCGAGGGAGCUCUAACCUCUCUGCUCUGCUCCCUCCCGGGAGGAUCAGAAGGUGGCCUGGCAGGAGGGAGCGCUUCCCUCCUGCUGGUCACUGAAAUCUUGCGCCCCCAAGCCACUCGCACCCGCCCACUCUAAAAAGGAGAAAUCCUCUCACAAAGAGGAUUUAGCUGCCGAAAUCCCUACCUCCAACUAGUGGGCGGUAGGGACCAGGUUGAUGACUCAUGGUCUAGAUAAUGUGUGUGUCUCGGGGCAAUAUUGAGUUUGUGUAUGUGUGUGUGUGAGUGUGUGUGGAGACUGUAGCAUGUAUAUUCAUUGGGACUGUAGUGUAUGUAUUUGUAGGUGAUGUAGUUUAGAGAAUGUAGUGCAUGUGAGUGGAUAAAGACUGAAGUAUAUGUGUGUAGCCAUAUAGUAUGGGUUUGUGCAGGUCUAGGGGCUGUUGAGGGGGUGUGUUUAGGCACUGUAGUGUGUAUGUGUUUUGUGUGUGUGUUUGGAGGUUAUUGGAAUGUGUGUGCAUAGUAGAUAUAGUGUAAUGUGUCUAUUUAUAGAGAACAGUAGAGAGAGUGUGUGUGUCUAGCAACUGUAGUGUGUGUCUGUGUGUCAUAAAGAAAAUGUAGCGUGUGUAAGGAUGUAGAGACUUUCGAUUGACUAGGGGUGGGGUAGCAAUUUUUAUUUAUUUUUUAAUAUUAAAUAAAUUAAAAGGUAUUCUUCUUUCCAUCUUCAUUAUCAUGGGCCAGGGAGAGGGGAUAUCCAGGUCCCAGACUAUAAAAAUUAUUCUAGAGAGCUCCGACAACCUAAGAAUCAGAGCAUUGCCAUGGUAAUGGCCAAAUCUUGUGAGAGGAAUACUCUCAGUCUAAAUGUGGCAGAGGUGAAGAAUAGAGUUUCCCUGUACCUCCACUUGUCAAUUUAGCUUGGACUGGAAUGAAGAGGGUGAUCUCUUUGGCCCAUGAAGGCACAUGGUGGUGGCACCUUCUGCCAGUGCCUUGGUGACGCUGGGUGCUUUGCACCCCUUGCACCACAGAGAGCGUGACUCUGGUCCUUGGAACUCUGCAAAAGUGACUCUGGUCCUUGGAACUCUGCAAAAUGGAAGACGCUCAACUGGACUGUAGUUCUUACAUCAACUAAUUAUACAAUGUAUCUGUCAUGAUAGUUUUUCCAGUUCCUGUUGUUUCAGUUGCAUUUCUUAUAAACUCAAAAUAGUGCUUAGCAUCUGGUAUUUUGAUUAAUUAUCCGAUUUGUAAGUAUAAUAAAAGUAAUGCAAAAUUUGAGCAUGUCAGGACUAGCCUAAUAUAAGGGUAGAAAGGACAGAAGCACAUACAGGUCAGAGUGGCCCCAGAGACAGGGAGGUAAAGAGGGAGGUAAAGAGUUAACUUUUAACAGGGCAUGGUAAAAAAGAACAGAGGAGCACCUGGGUUACAGCUGACCUCAUUCAAAUGUACCAGUUUAGAGAUUCACUGUGGUCAAAGUUCAAGCGUACUGGCUCCAUGAACGAUCACUGUACUUACAGACAAUUGUGAAAUGCAUGUACAAAACAAACAAAAAUGACAAAGGCCCAAUAUUUCAGUGAAAAUUUGAACAACCUAUCAAACCCAAGAAAUGUCUGGAAAAUCAGCAUACAAACCCCCACAAUCCACUCCCAACCAGUGGCGGCUCAAGACUUUGUGAGGCCUUAGGCGAAAUUCAAACAUGAGGUCCCCACUAACACCCAAAGUGGAAAAAAAAUAGGGUUUGCAUUGUGUGUAUAAGGUGCUGUAGUUGUAUUAAAGGACAAGCUUGCAGCCCUGGAUAAAAAGAGCUAGUCUCUGUAUUCAUUGUUCAGAGGCUUGCAGUGCCGCGGCUCCCUGUGCCGCUGUGUUGUGAGCACUCCGACUGUAGUAAUGGCAUAAUUUUGAAAACAAAAUUAUUUGCAAUAAACAAAUUUUUAGCAAUUAUGCUAAUCAUUUACACACGUGAGUAUGAUUACGUAGCCUUGCAGUCGUGUAUACAUUACUGCCAUUGUGUGUAUUUCUGAGUGUGUCUGGCAGUGUCUACCUGUGUAUGUGCAUGAAAGUGUGUGUCUGACCGAGAGUAUCCUUGCAUGUGAAUGUAUGUCUUUAUGAGUAUGUAUCUCGGACUGUAUAUGUGUGGGGUAGCUGCUUGCAGUGUGUGGUGUUUAUGAGGGCUGCCUGCGACAUUUGUGCAUGUGUGUAUGAUGAAUGUCUUCAGUUUGUGACUGUAACAAGGUGAGUAAAGGGGUAACUGUGGUAGGGUGAGUGUGACAGGAUGAGGGGGGUAAAUGGGGUAAAGGAGACAGGGUCGGGGGGGUGAGUGUGACAGAAUGAGGGAGGGUGAGAAUGAUAGGGGGGGUAGUCAGCAUGCACCUCAGAUCUGUGCUUAGCAGACCUGGGUAAUGUGACAGAUCAUUGAUAUAAUGUAAAUCGGAAAUUGUAACAGUCUGGAAGCAAUGUAGGCACUACAAGACUUGUACAAAACAUGGAUAAGGACUAGCGUUUAAAGAUGAAUAUAUGGUAUAAAAACGUGUGUUAAAUCUCUGUAAAUAAUGAGCAGCUAAACAUUCAUGAGACUUGUUACAAUAUCACCAACAAGAUAUACAAAAAAAAUUAAAAUAAUGUAGCGCUUAAAUAAUGAAUAAAUUAUCACCUUUUAGUUUAAAUUAGGAGGAAAUUCCCACCAUAUCAUCAAUUAUAUCGAUAUCUAUAAGAGACAAUCAAAUAUAGUGUAGAUUGUACAAGGAUAAAAAAAUCUACUUAUGUGUAGUGAUGUACCGAACGGUUCGCUGGCGAACGGUUCCUGGCGAACAUAGCAUGUUCGCGUUCGCCACGGCGGGCGAACCUAUGCGCGGUUCGACCCGCCCCCUAUUCGUCAUCAUUGAGUAAACUUUGACCCUGUACCUCACAGUCAGCAGACACAUUCCAGCCAAUUAGCAGCACAGCCUCCCUAGCAGACCCUCCCACCUACUGGACAGCAUCCAUUUUAGAUUCAUUCUCAAGCUGCAUGCUUAGUAAGAGGAGGGAAAGUGUAGCUGCUGUUCAUAAGAUAGGGAAAAGCAUAGCUAGGUUAGGGAUAAGGGUAUGCUUUUUUUUUAUUUUUUUUUUCUAUGUAAUGUAAAUGCACUUAGUUGUCUGCCACUGCUGCCAGCUUCUGUGUCAGGCUCACAGUGCCCAUUUCCCCAGUCAGUGCCACCAAUUACAUCUGGUGUCACAAUAGCUUGGAUUUAAAAACAAAAAACUUUUUUCACUGUUAUAGAUUGAAUAGCAGUCAGUUGUCUGCCACUGCUGCCAGCUUCUGUGUCAGGCUCACAGUGCAUACUGUGCCCAUUUCCCCAGUCAGUGCCACCAAUUACAUCUGGUGUCACAAUAGCUUGGAUUUAAAAACAAAAAACUUUUUUCACUGUUAUAGAUUGAAUAGCAGUCAGUUGUCUGCCAUUGCUGCCAGCUUCUGUGUCAGGCUCACAGUGCAUACUGUGCCCAUUUCCCCAGUCAGUGCCACCACAGCUUGGAUUUAAAAACAAAAAACUUUUUUCACUGUUAUAGAUUGAAUAGCAGUCAGUGUCCUUAAAGCGGGUGUGUUACGCUAACAGUGGAUACGCUGACAAGUGCCACUAAUUAGAUCUGGUGUCACAAUAGCUUGGAUUUAAAAACAAAAAACUUUUUACUGUUAUAGAUUGAAUAGCAGUCAGUGUCCUUAAAGCGGGUGUGUUACGCUAACAGUGGAUACGCUGACAAGUGCCACUAAUUAGAUCCUGUGUCACAAUAGCUUGGAUGUAAAAACAAAAAACUUUUUUUACUGAUAUAGAUUGAAUAGCAGUCAGUGUCCUUAAAGCGGGUGUGUUACGCUAACAGUGGAUACGCUGACAAGUGCCACUAAUUAGAUCUGGUAUCACAAUAGUUUGGAUUUAAAAACAAAAAACUUUUUUUACUGUUAUAGAUUGAAUAGCAGUCAGUGUCCUUAAAGCGGGUGUGUACGCUAACAGUGGAUACGNNNNNNNNNNNNNNNNNNNNNNNNNNNNNNNNNNNNNNNNNNNNNNNNNNNNNNNNNNNNNNNNNNNNNNNNNNNNNNNNNNNNNNNNNNNNNNNNNNNNUACAGGCGGAGGUUUAGAGAAACCAACAAGCUGGUUGGGGACUCUUAUGUGGAAUGGGCCUGCAGAGUCCAUCGUACCGCAGCUCACUGGAUGGCUGGAUGCCAAGCGGUAACUGGGGAGGAGGUGUUACAAGUGUUCCUGCUGGAGCACUGCUUUGAUAGACUACCUGCUGGGGUCCGGGAAUGGGUCAGAGACAGAAAACCCUCUACCCUACCCGAGGCUGCCCGUCUGGCGGACGAAUACACGGAUGCCCGCAAGUUGGAUGGUACAGCUGCUAAAGCCCCUGCCAGACUGGAGUAUCGACCAGCAGUAACACCCGCUCCUGCAGUCUACCAACCCCCAGCACACCGUACCCCAGCUGCACCACCAGCUAACAAUUAUAUGCAACCAGCCCGAUUUAAUGCCCGGGAGUACUCCCAACCCAUCCGGUGCUAUGGAUGCAAGCAGUUGGGGCACAAGCGUCCUGAGUGCCCCCUGAACAGUGCCAACCAGGCUCAGUCCUGGAGGAGACCAGUUAACGGAAACCAGCGCCCACCUCAGCCUGCGGCUCACUGCCUAGAGCAGGAGGAAUUUUGGGGCAUUCUGCACGAGGCAGACCCAGUGCAAGCGGCUCACCAGGAUAAUCGCCAGCAACAUCGGCAAACUGUGAAGCUAAAUGGCAGAGUGGUAAAUGGGCUGAGAGACACAGGAGCCACGAUGACACUGCUCCAAAAGAACUUGGUCUCAGAGCAUCAACACACUGGAGACACUGUGGCAGUAAGGGUAGCAGGGGGUGCCGUGUUUCGCUUACCUGUUGCCCGAGUACAUUUGGAUUGGGGAGUGGGCGCUAGGCAUGUGGAUGUGGGGGUGAUGAAGGAUUUGCCCGCAGAUGUUCUUUUGGGAAACGAUUUGGCCCCUUUGGUUUCAGCAUAUGCUCCGAUGGGCCCUGCAGACGUGAACCCAGUGACCACCCGUGCCCAGACCCGUGCUGCCGGAACCAGCCCGCUUGCUGACGAGACCCAGGUAAGAUCUCCUUCCCCGACUGAUACCCCAGAUCAGGUCCCCUUGAGCUGGGAUUCCCCAGAGGAGUUUGGGAGGGAAACCCGGGCGGAUCCGACCCUCCAAAGAUACAAGGACAGGGCAGAGGCUGGGGAGGAAGGAAUAGAUGGGGAACGGUAUGAGUGGGUGGGGGACAGGUUAUAUAGGAUCCCUAAACCUUCCCAGAAGAUUUGGCCUCUCCGCCAAAUCGCCAGUUAGUGGUACCUGCAAAGUACCGGCAGGAGAUUCUGCGGAUAGGGCAUGAUGUUCCUUUAGCUGGACAUCUAGGGUCCCACCGCACAGCCUAUAGGAUUUCACAGAACUUCUUUUGGCCAAACUUUAACCAGGCUGUGCGGAUGUACUGCAGCACGUGUGACACAUGUCAACGGGUAGGAAAGCGGGGGGACCACCCUAAGGCUAGGCUAUUAUCGAUGCCUAUUAUAGGGGAGCCCUUUGCCCGCAUAGCCGUUGACAUCGUGGGUCCACUGACCAGGGCUAGUCCAUCAGGGAAGAAAUACGUUCUUACCGUGGUGGACUAUGCCACCCGCUAUCCAGAGGCAGUAGCGCUGUCUAACAUAGAGGCAGAGACGGUUGUUGAUGCCCUGGUUAGAAUUUUUACUAGGGUCGGGUUCCCUAAGGAGAUUCUCUCCGACCAGGGAACCCAAUUCACCGCUGUGCUCACCCAGCAGCUGUGGAAGGUGUGUGGCAUUAAGCCGUUACUUAGCUCACCCUACCACCCACAGACUAACGGUCUCUACGAGCACUUUAACGGUACCCUCAAACAGAUGCUGAGGACCUUUACAGACACUUGCAGAGACUGGGAGAGAUUCCUGCCUCAUCUAUUAUUUUCUUAUAGAGAGGUGCCCCAGGAAUCUACUGGGUUCUCCCCCUUUGAGCUGCUGUAUGGGAGAAGGGUCCGCGGACCCCUAGAUCUCAUUAGAGGCCACUGGGAGGGGGAGACGGAGCAGGAAGGGACCCCCAUAGCGCCAUAUGUUCUGGAACUCCGGGACCGCAUGGAGAAACUGUCCCUGAUGGUAAGGGAGAAUCUCCAGGCGGCCCAGGGGAGACAGAAGAGAUGGUACGAUCAGGGUGCCCGACAGCGGGUCUUCCAGGUUGGGCAAAAGGUAUUGGUGCUUAAACCCGUGAAGGCCAACAAGAUGCAAGCAUCUUGGCAGGGCCCGUACAAGGUAGUGGCGCAGAUCUGCAACACUACUUACUUGAUAGCCAGCUGUGCAGAUGAGAGGAUCCAGCGGUCCUUUCAUGUGAACAUGCUGAAAGAGUACCAGGAGAGACCUGAGAAUAUUGCAGCAGUAUGUGCCCCAGCCGCAGAUGAUUCUGAGAAUUUACCCCUUCCAGAUCUAUUAGAAAGGGAUUCACAGACUGACCUUACUACCUUGGUACAGCUAGGGGACCGGUUGAACCCCACAGAAAGGGUACAGGCGCAGCAGUUGUUAUGGGAGAAGCAGGUGACGUUCUCCCAGGAACCAGGUUAUACCACCCUAGCUGUGCAUAAGGUAGAGACCCCUGGACAGACCCCGUUACGACAGCCCCCCUACCGUAUCCCUGAAGCAGUCCAUGAAGGAAUGCGGAAGGAGAUACAGGAGAUGACCCAGCUUGGGGUUAUAGAGCACUCCGACAGCCCUUGGGCCUCACCUGUAGUCCUGGUGCCAAAGAAAGAUGGGACCACCCGGUUCUGUGUGGACUACAGGCGACUCAACGAGCGGACCACCACUGACGCCUACCCAAUGCCCCGGGUAGACGAAUUACUAGAUCGUAUUGCCAGGGGGCGAUAUCUGACCACCAUAGACCUGUGUAAGGGCUACUGGCAGAUCCCCCUGGCCGAGGAUGCUAUCCUCAAGUCGGCAUUUGUCACCCCAUUUGGCCUGUACCAAUUUAAGGUCAUGCCUUUUGGGAUGAAAAAUGCACCGGCUACUUUCCAACGGAUGGUGGAUAGACUCCUGGAUGGCUUCCAAGAAUUUGCCUGUGCAUACUUGGACGACAUUGCGAUCUACAGUGGGUCCUGGGAGGAACACCUGGUACAUGUAGGGGUAGUGCUGGAUAAGAUUAGGGCCGCUGGCCUGACGUUGAAGCCAGAAAAGUGUCAUCUAGGUAUGGCUGAAGUGCAGUACCUAGGUCACAGAGUGGGGUGUGGGAGCCAGAGACCAGAGCCAGCCAAGGUAGAAGCAGUGGCUAACUGGCCCACACCUACUACUAAGACCCAGGUAUUGGCCUUCUUGGGGACGGCAGGGUACUACAGACGUUUUGUCCCUGACUACAGCACUAUUGCUAAGCCCCUGACAGACCUGACUAAGAAGAACUUGCCUAAGCAGGUCCUGUGGUCUCCGGCUUGUGAAGCUGCAUUCCAGGCACUGAAGCAGGCUCUUGUGAAUGCCCCUGUCUUGGCUGCCCCAGUCCCUAACAAACGCUUUCUCGCCCAUACAGAUGCUUCCAUGUAUGGACUGGGGGCUGUGCUGAGCCAAGUCGGGGAAGAUGGAGGAGAGCACCCUGUCGCAUAUCUCAGCAGAAAGUUGUUACCCAGAGAAGUGAGUUAUGUGGCAGUGGAGAAGGAAUGCUUGGCCUUGGUCUGGGCCUUGAAAAAGUUAAGCCCCUAUUUGUAUGGGCAAGAGUUUUCCCUUGUGACUGAUCACAACCCACUCGUUUGGCUUAACCGGGUCUCAGGAGACAAUGGGAGACUGCUGAGAUGGAGCUUGGCAAUACAGCCCUACAAUUUUACCAUCAGCUACAGACCCGGUAAGCUAAACGGAAACGCAGAUGGGUUGUCACGACAAACAGACGUUUCCAUCACCUCGUAGUCCGGUCAUCCCCAAGUUGACCCGCCACAGUGUCAAGCCGGGUCUGCCGGAGUGUCCCACAAGGAGGGAGCCGUGUGACAGAACCAUCUGUCUGCUGGAUUUUUGCCCGUUCGUCUGUUUGUCCCCGUUCGUAUGAAUGGCUGGUUUCUAUAGCCCAGCCAUUCGAAUGACUAUUUUUCCCGAACAAAACCGCCGAACGAACGGCCACCCAAGUGAGGAGUGUGCUGCAGGUUAACGAAGUGAUCACCAUUAUAACGUUGUGGUUAACCGCAGACACUUCUCAAUUAAACCUAACUCAGGGUGGUCGUCGUUCGUAUGUCGACCACGAGGCAGCGGCCAUUUUAAAUCAUGCGAACGCUCAGCGGUGUUUGGCUCUAUUUCCAUGGAACGGAAAACGGACACUUUUUCUGUCGAACACCGCUGAAACAAGGGAACGCCUGGCUGCCUCCACGAAAGCAUGCGAACAUCGGCCGUUCGGGAGAUUGAGAAUACACAAAAGACUUAACCCAGAUAGCCCACCCAUGGAGUCAUUCGUGUACCGAAGGACUGUAAGAACUUUGACUCCAUGGCGAUUGAACUAUGUGUGUGGGAUCUGAGCGCUAUUCGCCAAUAAUAUGCACUCAGAUCCAGGCUAUCUGGGGACAUGUAAUACGAAUGGGAAAUGUUCAGUCUUCAUGUAGUUAUGCAUUUUUGUGUCUUUUAUUAUUUCAUGUUUAAGAUGGCGACUGUCCUUGUCCUGGAGUUAAUUGAGUUACUUGGUAAUUAACUCCAGGACAGAGGGGAGGGAAUCAGAAUGUACUGUGGGUAAAAUAUGUGACUGUGUGUCAGAAAUGUCCUGCUAUCUGUCUGUACUUUAAGUCUUCCAUUUGGUCCCCUAGGGGAGUGUCCACCAGGUGGGAGACCUGCAUAAAUACGGGCAGGUAGCCCACAGUAAACCCAGAUCUUAUUUGACCCUCAAUGCGGAGCUUCUGUCUCGUUAUUGGGGGGAUUUCUUCUUCACGUUUAGAGACUGCUGGAUGGAACGAAAGCCGCUUUGGGGAUAUUAUUGUUCGACGGUUCCUAGCAGUUCGUAUAGUGCCGUUCGGGAGUUUGGAGCCGUUCGUGGAUUUCGAUCGGGAGAUUGCCGCUUCCCCUGCAUUUGGUUCGUGGGUUACAGAGUAAUCGAACAGAGACUGUACUGCAGCCGGGGAAGGUUUACUAAACGGCGGUUUGACUUAAAGACACGGGAGGUGUCUUAACAUCUGCCUGACACCAUGACAUGUUGUACUUACAUCCCAGAAAACACAGGCCCCAAUGGUAAAGUAACCUUAGCUAUAGGAAAAUUGAAAGAGCUCUCUGAGGAGCUAAAGAGGAACUCUGGGAUAAAAGAUCCCUGGGAGAGAUGGUUUGGUUGGAUGACAGGAUGGCAAAAAGCUUUGAUGCAUAUUGGUAUAGCAAUACUAAUUUUCCUUUUUAUCUUUGCUCUUCUCGUUUGUUGUGUCCUCCCUUGUCUGAGAAAGCUCCUCUUGAAUACUGUAGACCAAGCGGCACCCACUUACGCACACCUCACAGUUGAUGACCAAGAUUUCCAAAAAGUCAACUCGCCCUGUAUACCGCUACAAUCUAUCCCGUUUAUUGAUAAAGUGCAAGAGUUCUAGGAAGGGACCAGCUUAGGGACAGCAUCUGUCUGUCUGGGAAGUCUACCGUGCGGAGAUGUGGUGGGUUAGCCACCUCGGGAUACCCAUGGAGUGAAGUGUUCGAGUGCCCAGCGGACAGAUGAGUUAGCCAAUUAGGGACAGACGAAGGGACAGCUUUGCACUUUGCAAUAACACCUAGCUAGCGGGUCACGGGGUUUCUGUGCCUUUGGGCUAACACGUCUUCUGAUACUAACAAAUAAAGAUUAUCUUUUAGAAUCUAACAUUUCAUAGGGGGGACUGAUGUAGAAUUAUUAAAAUCUUUAUUAGAACCUGUAUUGAAUUAUUGUACUAACUCCAUUUUGUUCACCUUACAUGACAGAAUUUCCUGACAGUAUUCAGUAUAAUGAAUAAGAGAUUGUAUUCUCUCUCUCUAAGGACAUAACUAGCCCCGGAGUUAGCGGAUCUCCGUUGACUUGCAACAUAGUAUAAUCCAAGGCCAGGAGAACAGUGACAAAAUGAAAUGUUCUAUUCAUAAAAGAACCUUGGAACAGACCACGAGACUGACAUCACUAACUACGUAAAAUGACGCCCAAGCCCCCCUUUCCACCGAGUAAGCCUCGUGCUAAAGAGCAAUGGCGACGACAUCCCAUGAUGGGAGGGUGCCUCACUAGUCACUCAAAUCUCUGAGCCAAUUAAUAAUAUUAAUGGGUGGACACUGACAUAGCCACUUAACAUUUAACCCAAUUAAUGAUGUUUAUUUGUUAUUAUCUGAUAUUCAAUGAUGAUGUCAUUUUGCAUAUAAAAAGGCCUGCGUGCCCACUUUUUAACUAGAUGCUAAUAAAUUUCCUGAAGUGUUUUUAACCUGAACUGCAUGUGUCAGUGUGAACUUACUUCUGCGUAUACGCAAUUUAUUCAUCUCAGAUUUGGACAGGAACAGAUAGACUUUUAAACAUUUUUGUUUAUUUCUAAAUUAAUCUACAUCAGCGGCGUAGCCUACUUCCCUUGGUAGUAAUUUUCUGCUUAAGUAAGCUACGGGAUGUUCUCCGCCAUCAGCUCCCACUUGGCUCAGUACUGCCCCCAAUCCAAACAUGGAAGCGUCUGUGUGAACAAGAAAUCGUUUAGUUGGAUCAGGGGCAGUUAACACAGGAGCCUUAGUUAAUGCAGUUUUUAGUUCAUGGAAUGCCUGUUCACACUCUGGGGCCCAGUUGACCUGUCGUGGCAAGUUUUUCUUGGUCAAGGGGUUUGGCCAGGGCGCUGUAAUUGGGCACAAAUUUUCUGUAGUAACCAGCGGUACCAAGGAACGCCAAUACUUGUGUCUUUGUCCUGGGGGUAGGCCACUUAGCUACUGCCUCUAUCUUGGCCGGUUCGGGCCUCUGCUGUCCGCAUCCUACCCUGUGACCCAGGUACUGCACCUCUGCCAUCCCUAUGUGACACUUGCUAGGUUUUAGUGUCAGCCCUGCCUCUCCAAUACGGCCAAUGACCACACUAAUAUGUUUCAAAUGAUCUGCCCAGGUCUGGCUAUAAAUGGCUAUAUCAUCUAAGUACGCACAGGCGUACUCUUGGAACCCGUCCAGUAGCCGAUCUACCAUCCUCUGAAAGGUAGCCGGAGCCUUUUUCAUCCCGAAAGGCAUGACCCGAAAUUGAUACAGGCCAAACGGGGUGACAAACGCCGACUUGGGGAUGGCCUCCUCGGCUAGUGGAAUCUGCCAGUAUCCCGUCCAGUAGCCGAUCUACCAUCCUCUGAAAGGUAGCCGGAGCGUUUUUCAUCCCGAAAGGCAUGACCCGAAAUUGAUACAGGCCAAACGGGGUGACAAACGCCGACUUGGGGAUGGCCUCCUCGGCUAGUGGAAUCUGCCAGUAUCCCUUACACAGAUCAAUGGUAGUGAGAUACUGGCCUCUUGCCAUCCUAUCUAGCAGCUCGUCUAUACGGGGCAUCGGGUAGGCGUCAGACACUGUUUUGUCAUUGAGCCUCCGGUAGUCUACACAAAACCGCGUGGUGCCAUCCUUCUUGGGUACUAGCACUACCGGUGAUGCCCAGGGGCUAUCUGAAUGUUCGAUAACCCCUAACUGCAACAUUUCCUCAAUUUCUUUCCUCAUGUGCUCCCUUACUGCUUCAGGGAUACGAUACGGAGUCUGUCUCAUAGGGAGCUGUCCUGGGGUCUCUACUCGGUGGGUAGCUAACAGAGUGUACCCUGGUAAAUUGGAGAAGGUAGCACCUUUUGCCGCAAUCAACUCCUGUACCUGGGCACGCUCCUGGAGACUUAGCCGCUCCCCCAGCUGCACACCUGUAGCGUUUUCUGCAGAAUCUUCCUUUUCUAACAUGUCUGGCAAGGGCAGAUUCUCAUAAUCCUCAGUGGCUGGGGCACAGAUGGCUGCUACCUCCUCUAUUCUCUGGUGAUAGGGUUUGAGCAUGUUCACAUGGAGCAUGCGUCGUUUCCCUACCCCAGAGCACGGGCCGAUCACAUAAGUGGUGUCACAUCUCUGUUCUACCACUUGGUAUGGGCCCUGCCAGGUGGCCUGUAGCUUGUCUGUGCGGACAGGUUUCAAAAUUAGAACUUUCUGUCCCACCUGAAAGCUACGGUCUCUGGCUCCCCUAUCGUACCACCGGCGCUGUCGCCGCUGAGCCGCCCGGAGGUUCUCCCGUACGGUUUGGGUUAGAGCCUCCAAGCGGUCCCGGAACUCCAGCACGUAUGGCACAAUGGGGACUCCAUCUGCACUGCUCCCCCCCUCCCAAUGUUCUCUAAUUAAGUCUAGGGGUCCCCUCACCCUUCUCCCAAACAAUAACUCAAACGGAGAGAAGCCGGUAGAUUCCUGUGGCACUUCUCGGUACGCAAAAAGCAGAUGGGGUAAAAACCUCUCCCAGUCUUUAUGGGACUCCCCAAAUGUCCUGAGCAUCUGCUUCAAGGUACCGUUAAAGCGCUCACACAACCCAUUGGACUGCGGGUGAUAGGCAGAAUUUACAAUUGGCUUAAUGCCACAUAACUUCCAUAGCUGGUGGGUCACUUCGGCUGUAAAUUGGGUCCCCCUAUCCGAAAUUAUCUCUUGGGGAAAUCCCAUCCUGGAAAAUAUCUUCAUCAUAGCUUCGGCUACCGUUUCUGCUUGUAUAUUGGAAAGGGCUAUAGCCUCCGGGUACCGGGUGGCAUAAUCUACAAUGGUCAGAAUAUACCGCUUGCCGGAAGGGCUAGGCUUGGACAGUGGUCCUACUAUAUCCACUGCUACUCUGCUAAAGGGUUCUUCAAUAAUGGGAAGGGGGCACAAUUUCGCUUUGUGGCGGUCACCCCUUUUUCCCACUCUCUGACAAAUGUCACAUGUCUGACAAUACUGUCUCACAUCUCUAGAUAUACCUGGCCAGAAAAAUGCAUGUGUCAAUCUGUACCUCGUUCUUGUCAUCCCUAAAUGCCCAGACAGCGGAAUAUCGUGGGCAAUUCUAAGCAGUUCCUGCCGGUAUUUCUGGGGAACUAUAAGCUGCUUAUUAGUCACAUGUACAGACCCCCUACCACCCGCUCAGCAACACGAUAUAACAGAUUUUUCUCCCAUACAUACUGUUCUCCCUCUAAACCUGUCUGACCAGCUGUCGCCUUAUCCUUAUAAAUUUGCAACGUGGGAUCGUUUUUAACCUCUGCCUCAAAGUCAGUCGGGGUAUCCCAGGAAACACGGGUUACACGGGGUACAUUGUCUCUUACCUGAGCCUCAGAGUGUGUGGAAGAUGAAGCCGUGGUGCGAGCCUGCUGACGGGUGGUCACUGGAUAUGCCUCAUGGCGAGGACUUUGGGGCACAAAAGCGGAAGUCAUUUGCCCCAGGUCAUUCCCCAAAACAACAUCAGCUGGUAACUUGUGCAUCAGCCCCACCUCCACCAUACCUUCCCCCGCACCCCAAUUCAGAUGUACCUUGGCAGUUGGUAGCCGGUACAUGGCACCCCCUGCUACCCGGACUGCUACCGAUCCCCCGGUAUGUGCUGAUCCUGACACCAAAUGCGGGGCAACCAAAGUUAAGGUAGCGCCGGAAUCACGUAGCCCCUGUACCUCUUUCCCUUCCAGAGUCACGGUCUGGCAAUGUGGUUGUCGGUUGUCAGUAGCAUGGAUGGACAUUACAUCGUGCAAAACGCCCAGGGGUUCAUCAGCCGACUCAAGCGGCACUCCUGGCAAAGUUGGCUCUGCAUGAUAAUAAUGAGCAGCUGCCCGCGGGGCCAUAUUCUGCUGGAGCUGAUUCCAGUUCUUGCGGCUCCGGUUUUGGGUGCACUCCCGGGCCAUGUGCCCCCAUUGCUUACAGGCAUGGCACUGGAUGUUGGACCUGCCAUUAUAACGGGAGUGGGGAGGUUGUCCCACAAGUGCUGGUCUGGAUGGUGCUGUCGCUGGGGCAGGAGCAAUAACUGGAAACGGUUGCGGGUUGGGUUUUGCAUACCCUCGGUUAUUAUUUUUAUGAUGCCUCCUAGAAUCAUAAUGUUGGUUGGCCCAUCGUGCCGCUUCGGUUAGGGUGUGAGGAUUUCGGUCAUUCACCCAUUCUUGAGCCUCUGGUGCCAGGCCAUUACAAAACUGCUCCAGUAGCAACAUCUGGCGUAACUCUUCCAUGGUGGUAGCUCUGCUGGCUUGUAUCCAGCCUUGUGAGGCUUGGUCAAGCUUGUGUGCCCACUCCGCAUGUGAGUCUUUGUCCCCUUUUUUCAAUUCUCGGAACUUGCGCCGGUAUGCCUCUGGGGUAAUGGCAUACCUUUCUAAUAGCGCCUGCUUUACCUUGUCAUAAUUCUUGCUGUCCUCUCUGGGUACAGCCCGGUAGGCGUCUGCUGCACGCCCAGACAGUUUGCCUGCCAACACAGGUACCCACAUAGCUUGCUCUACAUCAUGCAAGUCACACAAUCUUUCAAAAUCUUGCAAGAAUCCAUCUAUUUCGUCUUUAUCCUCGCAAAAAGUUUUAAAUGCAUGAUGUGGUAUUUUUGGCCUUCCCUGGCCCACAGUUGAAACAGCAGCGGUUUCUGCUUGAGGUGAGAAGGCUUGAUUCCUUUGCGCCAUCACGUACUCCUGUGCAUCCGCCGAAAUUAUGGUCAUAAUUUCUGGAGAUACUGGAGCGGGCCAAAAUGCCAAUCUUGUCCUCAUUUCUCGUUCAAAUGGGGUCUCCUCCAUGUUUGCUGGGGGUGUAGCACUACGAGCUCGGUCUCCUUCCAUUAGCUCGGCAAUAAGUCUUGCUUUAGGCUUAUUGCUGGCUAUCUUACCCCUGGCUUCCAACAGCUCCUUUAACGUUUGCUGUUUCAAUAUGGUGUAGUCCGUCCCCAUUCACUUCUGCAUCUGUAUCAAUUGCCUUCUGCUUUCCAGUAUGUCAAUUCCAAUUGUAUAAACAGUGUUUUUCCUGCUGUACGGUUGGAUCCCGCCGCUUUCCACCAAUUGUUGCGGAGCUGCAAUUUUAUAAUCCCAGGAUCUCUGCUGGUAGAAUGCAAUAACCAAGUACAAAGCUGGAAGCAGGCAAUAUUCCCAAAUCCUCCCAAGAACCAGACGAAACACAGUCUGAGAGUCAACUGCCACUUUAUUCAAAAAGACUGAUAUUUAAAGCAGGUCAACUGUCACAACUGAUAUUUAAAGCAGGUCACUCAACUGUCACUUUAUUAAAAAUAACUGAUAUUUAAAGCAGGUCACUCAACAGGGGUUUCCAAAGAUGGGCAGCAGGGGUUUUGGUUGAGGGGACUGGAGGGAGACUACCGUUUCCAGGUCCUCCUCCCAACAGCCCCUGCUGUAACAUACAGUAAUGAAAACUACGAGGACAUAAACCGUUACCUUUCUACUUCAAAAUAUACAACUUAGUCAGUUUUAAUAGCAAUGCUAACGAAUGGGGAGGAUUCGAACAGACAUACACAGUACAGCAUAAAUUAAACAUAGCCAGAGACGCCACACUAUACCGGCGCGCAGUACACAACAGAAAAUAGGCACAACCAUUCUAUCUUAGGCAGUCCCAAGUGGCUAGGUUUGCCACAGGUAAUGCUGGUAUACACCACAGUAUUCACAUAAUAAUUAAGUCACUAGUGUGUAUAAUAAUAAGGAGUAUCUAUACACUGAUAAUAAACAUGUCGCUCUGUAUAAUAAUACUGAGAAUCUAUACGCUGAUAAUAAACAUUUCACUCUGUAUAAUAAUACUUUGUAUCUAUAUGCUGAUAAUAAACAUGUCACUCUGUAUAAUAAUACUGAAUAUCUAUACACUGAUAAUAAACAGGUCGCUCUGUAUAAUGAUACUGAGUAUCUAUACGUUGAUAAUAAACAUGUUGCUCUGUAUAAUGAUUCUGAGUAUCUAUACGCUGAUAAUAAACAUGUCACUCUGUUUAAUAAUACUGAGUAUCUAUACGCUGAUAAUAAACAUGUCGCUCUGUAUAAUGAUUACGAGUACCUGUUAUGUUUGAUGAUACCUGACUUACAAUAACAUACCGUCUAUUAAUCAGCCAGGAUUUAUUGAUGACAAGUCACAUAUUAUGUUCGAUCCCUUUGUUGAUAUACACAUUCCUGCUGUAACAUACACCCAACAUGGCCGAACUCCAUACACACACUGCGAAGAGAGAGCAAAUCUAGGAGGUGUAUCUAUCCCAGCAUGCCUUGCACACUUACUACAGGAGCUGGUUAGAGAAAAACUGUGCAUUGUGCAAAGGGGGUGUAUCCAUGGUAGCGGGUAAUUCCUAUCCAGUAAUUGGUAAUUUUGAUGCCUGUUGGCACCCAAUGUUCAAAAUUCUGGGGAGAUUUUGGCCAUUAUUACUUCAAGAUCCCCAUAUACAGAAAUCAAUAGCACUUCAAGCUUCAGUAACAGCAAGGAAGGGACGUAAUAUUAAAGAUAUGUUAGUACCAAGUCAUUUGAAAUCCAUCUCACAUGGCUAAAAUCCCCAGUAUCUGGAACAUAUACUUCGUCCCUCAAAAAACUCUCAGACUCUAUAAAUUCAUUCGACUUCAAUGUCAAAACUUUUUUCAAUUGUCAGUCUAAAGGCCUUGUCUAUUUAUUAACAUGUUCAUGCAAAAAACAAUAUGUUGGUAAAACUAUCCAUGCAUUUAAAUGCAGGAUUCGUGAACAUGUAACCUCGGUUAAUCCGAGGAGACUAAUUGACACCCCUAUUUCAAAACACCUUUAAUCAUGGUGGUUCCACAGAAGGCAUACAAUUCUGCGGCAUAGGGAAGGUCUUGUGGCAAACCUAGCCACUUGGACUAUAACCAGAGACUGUACCUUUAAGGGUUGCCUGUAUGUCUGGGGAGAUAUGUGUUUAACUACGUAUAUUGUAUGCUGACUGUAAUGUAUUGAAUUGCCUGUUUUUGCUAUCCGCCGAAUGCAGAUAGCUGUUUGUAUGGGGUUUUCCUUUCGUUUCACGAACGGCACUUUGGAGGGCCGUUCGUGAACUGAAAACACUACCCCUAAUAGCCCACACACUUCGAGGCGUGUGGCGCAGGUUAACCGAUUGCAACAAUGUUGCAAUCGGUAAUUAGAGGCUCUCCUGGGUGGCCGUCGUUCGACUACCGACCAUGCGGCGGUCAGCCAUCUUGGAUCCUUUGUUCCCUCAGCGGUGCAAGGUCGUCGAGCGCAUGGUACUAAAAACGGCUACUCGACGGCACGAACACCGCUGAGCCUCCAGGACGUUCGGGAGUUCCAGGCCGUUCGGUAUUUUAUUCCCUGGAAGGCAAUCGGUCUUUUUAAUAUGUUUUCCAAUAAAUGUGUUUUUCGUGCGGCGUUCGGUUAUUUUAGCUGGGAUCUGAGCGGUAAUCUCACGAAUGAUGCGCUCAGACCCCAGCUAUCUACCGAACGUCCAUUCGUGCAAAUCAACAGUAUAUUCACUAGGAGGAGGAUCCCUCUCGUGCAGCAGUGCCUGAUGGGAGAAAUGUGUUGUACUGUAAGUUCCCCAUCUAGUCCCCUCUAGGAAUGCCCCUGGGAGGGGACUCAGGAAACCCCUUGCAUGGGGACUUGUAUAAAUUGUGANNNNNNNNNNNNNNNNNNNNNNNNNNNNNNNNNNNNNNNNNNNNNNNNNNNNNNNNNNNNNNNNNNNNNNNNNNNNNNNNNNNNNNNNNNNNNNNNNNNNACGAAAAAAAUAUAAAUAAUAAUAAAAUAAAAUUAAUAAUAUUUUGAAAAAAAUAAUAAUAAUAAAAUAGUAAUAAUAUAGCAAACAAAAAAAUAAUAAAAAUACCCACCCCCCACCAAGGCUCAGCAUUACAUACACAAACACACUCUGCAUCACACACACACACUGCACUCAUACAUACACAUACACACACACACACACACACCGCAUUCAUACAAACACUGCAUUAUAUACACACACACACACACACUGCAUUCAUUAUAUACACACACUGUAAAUACAUAUUCAAUUAAUAUAAUUUUAUUGGGAUCUAAUUUUAUUAAGAAAUUUACCAAUAGCUGCUGCAUUUCCCACCCUAGUCUUAUACUCGAGUCAAUACGUUUUCCCAGUUUUUGGGGGUAAAAUUAGGGGUCUCGACUUUUAUUCGGGUCUACUUAUACUCUAGUAUAUACGGGUAAGAUGUGAAUAGUAGAUUUGCUGAAAGAUGAAGUUAAAUGAGGCCGACAAAGAAUAAUCUGAGAAUAGAGACUGGUUGUGAGAUGCUGGAAUAUUGGGGACCGGAUAGAAACCAAUAAAGGAGAGAGACACACAAUGGAAUGAGAGGAAAAGUGAGAAAAUAAAGGUGUGCCUGGGGUAGGCUGAAAAAAGCCACGUCCUGGUGUUUACACUGUAAUUACAGAGAUCUGCUAUGGAAUAUUCCACUAUACUUUAUACAAAUAACAUAAUAUUAAUUAAUAUGACUUUGUUGCUAUGUUACUCCUAUUUAAACACGCAGGACCAUUUUCUUGUAGGGUUUUUGGUUAAUGAAUGUUAAUAAAUCAUUCUAAUAUAAUAUAAUGUUACUGACCAACAGAAACCAAAGAUACUUUAUUUAUUUAUUUAUUUAUUGACGGAAAAUGAAUUCAAUAUGUAUUCCUGUGUUAUAAACAUGACUCGGGCUAAUGAUUCCUGGAAAUAAAUUAUGGGAUGGAUGAUUCGCUGCCUAUUUACCAGAAUAUCCUGUUAGCAGGGCCAGUGCAAGUAUUUCUGCCGCCCUAGGCAAAGAUCCAUUUUGCCACCCCCUCAUGUCACUCACUCACUGACAGACACACACACACUCACUGACACACAUACACUCACUCACUGACACACACACACACACACACACAGAAACUCACUGACAGACAUACACUUACUCACUGACAGACAUACACACACACACAGAAACUCACUGACAGACAUACACUUACUCACUGACAGACAUACACACACACUCACUGACAGACACACACACACACAGACAUACACUCACACAGACACUCACUGACAGACAUACACACAAACUCACUGACAGACAUACACUCGCUCAGACACUCACUGACAGACAUACACUCACUCACACACACACACACACACACACACAGAAACUCACUAACAGACACACACACACACACAUACACUGACAGACAUACACUCACUCAGACACUCACUGACAGACAUACACUCACUGACAGACACACACAAACACUUACUGACAGACAUACACACACACUCACUGACAUACAUACACUCUCUCAAUGACAGACACAAUCACUCAAUGACAGACACACACACUCACUGACAGAAAUACACUCACUCAAUGACAGACACGCAUGUAGCGGAUGGUACUGUGGCUGUCCUUAAAGACUAUGAGAAUCCUUCAAUACGUGUGUUGUUUCUGCUUUGUAUUUAAUUGUAAGUAGCAUUUGUAUGAUUGUUCGGUAGUUUCCAUCUGUAUUUCAUACGAAUGGAAUCUACCGAACUAAUAGACCACCCCAGAGUGAAGCGUGUCCCUCGUUAAGCUGUAAAGUACUUGCUAACCGCAGACUAAUAGGUGGUUUAUGUAUGUAUCUGGGUGGCCACCAUUCGGCAUGCAAACACAUGGCAGCGGCCAUCUUACGAACAGGGGGAUUCGGUGGAAAGACAGGAACAAAUGGAGUUCCAGAGACAGCUACAAUUUAGGCUGUCUUUUUAUGGAGAAAAUCCACCAGCGGAAAUUAUUUCCAGGACAAUGACGGAGGUCCAGGAGUUCAUACUGAGGCAAAGGAUAACGACAGCCCCAGAACGCAGCACUGCAGUAAACAUGGCACAAGAGGGUAAGCCAAAAAUACCGUACCAAGCAUUCAAAAUGUAUGUAGAGCCAGAGGAAGAUGCAUUCCUUCAGGAUUUUGAAAGACUGUGUGCCUUGCAUAGGAUCAGUGCAGAAGACUGGGUUCCCAUUUUGGCUGGGCAUUUAACUGGGAGGGCAGCAGAAGUCUAUCGUACUGUACCAGACGAGGAAAUCAGGGAUUACAGUAGAGUGAAAGAAGUUAUACUGGCCCGGUAUGCUAUAACACCAGAGGCAUACCGGAGGCGGUUCAGGGACUUAAAGAAAGCUGAGAAAGACUCGCAUGCUGAGUGGGCUUGCAGAUUACAGCGGACGGCCCUCGGGUGGGUGCAAGCUAGUAAAGCACGGUCCAUGGAGGACGUAAUACAAAUGCUACUGAUGGAACAAUUUUAUGAUGGGUACUGACCGAUGUCCAAGAAUGGGUAAGGGACCGUAACCCUACAUCCCUCACAGAGGCUGCUAGGAAAGCAGACGACUACCUGGAUGCACACAGGCAACAGAAACCAGUAGUCCCAAAGACCACAGUAAAAACCUUUGGGGGAACAAACUACCCCACAGUUCCACCGCGACAACUACCACCUGCUGCACAACCACGAUUCCGUCAGCCUAGCUCUGGGCCCUGUUACCACUGCCAGAAAUGGGGGCAUUAUAAACGAGAAUGCCCACAACUACGGGAUCGAUCCACCUGGAUCCGACCAGGACCACCACCACCACCGAGAGCAGCCGCAGCCCACUACUACCAGGACGUAAUCCCAACACUAUAUGGUUCAGCAGUUCCCAUUACCACCGUGGAACAAUGGGAAGUACUGCACGAGGCGUACCCUGUACAGGCCAACGCGGAUAACCGCCAACAUCACAGACAGACCGUAUAUCUAGAGGGUAAAGCUGUGCAAGGGCUCCGUGACUCAGGAGCCACUAUAACUUUGGUCAAAAGCCACCUGGUCUCGGACAAAGCUAAAACCAGCAAGACCGUAGCCAUCAGGGUAGCCGGGGGAGCAGUAUACCAGCUACCUACAGCAAUGGUUCACCUACAUUGGGGAGCAGGGUCAGGAGAGGUGGAGGUGAUGCCGCAAUUGCCAGCGGAAGUUUUGCUGGGCAAUGAUCUGGGAAGGCUCACGUCCGCUUUUUAGCCCCAGACCGCAAUCACAGGAGAAGCCCAUCCUGUGGUCACCAGACAACAGGCCCGCACCCAGGUCCAACACACACUGCCGGAGGUUCAGGUAAGAGAUCCUUCCUCUUCAGUAGAUUGUGUCCCCUGGGCCCCUCCUAAUGAAUUUGCAGCAGAGGUGAUAACUGAUCCCACGUUACAAGUAUAUAGGGACAAGUUCACAGCAGACCCACCCGGGGGGGAGGGCGAGAGGUUUAUCUGGGAUAAGCAGCUUUUAUACAGGGAGUCUGACAAGCAGAUAGCCGGGUCAGACCCGAUAGUUAUGAGGCAGCUAGUGGUACAGCAGCGGUAGCGAGCGGAGUUACUCCGGAUAGCGCACGAUAUUCCACUAUCCGGACACUUAGGGGUCAGUCGGACCAGGUACAGACUAACCCAAAGUUUCUUUUGGCCAGGGAUCAGCCAGGAAGUGCACCAAUAUUGCAGCACUUGCGAUACGUGCCAGAGGGUAGGAAAAAGGGGUGACCGGCGCAAGGCCAAGCUACAUCCACUGCCCAUAAUUGAGGAGCCGUUUAGCAGAGUGGCUGUGGAUUUAAUAGGACCCCUCCAGAAAGCUAGCCUUUCAGGAAAGAAAUAUAUCCUGACUGUUGUGGACUAUGCCACUAGAUAUCCAGAGGCGGUGGCUCUAAUAUUCACGCUGAAACGGUAGUUGAGGCCCUCAUGCAGAUCUUCUCCAGGAUGGGAUUACCAAAGGAGAUCAUCUCGGAUCAGGGUACUCAAUUCACAGCAGAAGUCACCCAACGCCUCUGGAAGUUCUGUGACAUUAAGCCAAUCAUUAGUGCCCCUUACCACCCCCAGACUAAAGGGCUCUGCGAACGAUUCAACGGUACAUUGAAACAAAUGCUCCGAACCUUCGCAGAGACCCACAAGGACUGCGAGCGAUUCCUGCCUCACCACCUCUUUGCUUACCGGGAGGUGCAGGAGUCCACUGGGUUUUCCCCGUUCGAAUUGUUAUUCGGGAGAAGGGUACGGGGGCCACUAGACUUGAUUAGAGAGCAUUGGGAGGGAGAACGGAGCACCGACGGCACCCCCAUCAUACCAUAUGUGUUGGCAUUCCGAGACCGCCUGGAAGCAUUGACUAGGACGGUAAGGGAAAACCUUCAGGCGGCUCAGACCCGCCAACGCACAUGGUAUGAUCGGGGCGCCAGGGACCGUAGCUUUCAGGUCGGACAGAAAGUGUUAAUUUUAAAACCUGUCCGUCAUGAUAAGUUACAGGCCGCCUGGCAGGGCCCUUAUAGGGUGGUGGAACAGAGAUGUGACACCACUUAUAUAAUCGGUGUGGCGAAACCAACCUCGCCACUGUGAACUGGAGAAGCCUGGUUGCUCGCCUGCUCCCUUUAGACUAUGGCCCUGCAGGUUAAACCGUUUAUUUCCCCUGCAGAAAUAAUUGAAUUACUCUCCAGGAUAGAAGACUCUGAAACUGGUUUGGGCCAGAAAGCCAUGCUUCAUUUAGUCACAAAGGACUUUCCCUUAACUUUUGAACCCCUGGUCUGAUUCGUACCAUUUUUUAAUAUGUUCCCCUGAAUGGAUUGAUUAUGAAAAUGUAUGUUUUAUGUUUGUGACAUGUAUAUUUUAGAAGUUAGAAAUAUUGUAUAAAAACUGUAUUCCUCUGCCGGUGAUAAUGAGAUUACCCAUUGUGUUCAGUAAUCAUAUCACCUGCAGAGGGGAGGAUUUUGUGUGGGAGUGUCUGGGUGUAUUGUAAGGAUUGAUUGGUUGUUUUGUAACGCCCUGUGGGCUGUACUAUGUUUGUGGAUUGGGAAUAAAAGAGACUGUAUGUGACAGUACAGGGAGUUCCUGUUUUAACCCCCAAAGUGAAGUGUCGUCUCAUUAUUGGGGGAAGGAUUUAUUGUAUGCUGUUCCAGUUUGACUGCUAGGAGAGUAAACCUAUUCGUAUGGUUCCUAUUCAACUGUCUACAGCAUUCAUAUGUUUGAGAGGAUUCAUAUGCUUCUCCGGUUCGGUGGUUGUGGUGUCUGCUGCAGUGCUUGGAGUCCUCAGGAAGCGCUAGGAGCAUCCUUUAACGGAGGUACCCAGUCGGGGUGCCAGGUGAUCCGUUACAUUGGUGGCAAGCGGUGGGAUGGCGUCCUAGUGCGAGGUAAAAGCAGCUCAGAGACACAGUUCGUGGAUUUACAAAUUGAAGGCGACGCUAGUGUUCAUACAGCGUCCCUGUCUACAUAAAGAUUUGUGAAAACCAGCACUACUUCAGAGAUGGAAGGCCGUGCAGUAUCUCACUUUGACGCCAGGCUCCAGCAGCGACUACAGGAUGUGAUGCGCAGUAUGGAGUAUCCUAUCCCAGAGGAAAGAGAGACAGAGUGGAGGGUGGCGCUUCGUACCGAUCUCUGGAAGGAGGACAUCGACGAAAUUCGACCCUUCCGGUGUGAGGAAAUCCUGACCACUAACCAGCGCCAAGCAGAACAACUAGAGCUGCGGAUGCCGUUAUUGGGAAACCAGCCCUCAGAGGAAUGGGUAAGCGAACUGGAGAUGCUAGUUGAGACUGAGGUGUGGCUGGAUGAUUCCUAUCGGGCCCUGCGGUGGCAUGUUUACCACCUCUACCCAUGGCUGAUUGAGUACAAGUGUAUUGAGGGGGAAGACUACGACGGCCCUGGUUUGUUGUGGGAUACUAUUGAAACUAGUCUCUGGUUCGGAGACACCGACAUUGCUCGCUUCUGGUCCAUCCGAGCUGAGCGGGCAGACAACUGGGACCUUACAGAGAUCGAUGCCAUUCAGCUAGAUCUAUCUUUUCUUGCCAACCGAGAGUGGGAACUAGAACAGGAUUAUGUUUGCCUAUUCCAACGUAUAACGCCGCCUGUCUUUGACAUGAUGGGGCUUAUUGACUGUAUACCACCACAAGCAUUGAGUUUAGUUCCUCCUCCCCAGCAACCAAGCCUGUUAUCAGGAGACUUUGGUACUGUACCACAUAUGUCCCAACCAGCCGCAGAGAUGGAAGACCUUAUUGACUUGUCCUGGGAAGACACCCAGCUGGCAGGUGGGGAUGGGACCGAGGUCUCUCUACAGGCCCUACAGGGAUGCUGGGCAGUCAGCCCAGAUCCCCAGCGGCAGUAUGUAUCCCAGGGAGCUGAAGGUGCUGUACUUCCUCCCCAGCGGCAGUGUGUCCUGCAGGAAACGGAGACAGUCGGUCUCGCUCCCCAGCAGCAGUGCAAUAUAUUAAAAGGGGAGACAGUUGGUCCCCCUCUCCAACAGCAGAGAGUGUUCCAGGGAGAGGAACUGGUUAUCACCUCUCCCCAGCAACAGGACAAAUUAUUGAAAGGGGAGACAGUCGGUCUCCCCCUCCAACAGCAGAGAGAGUGUCAGGGAGAGGAGCUUGUUAUCACCUCUCCCCAGCGGCAGUGUGUAUCCCAGGGAGCUGAAGGUGCAGUCCUUCCUCCCCAGCGGCAGUGUGUACCCCAGGGAGCUGAAGGUGCAGUCCUUCCUCCCCAGCGGCUGAAGGUGCCGUCCUUCCUCCCCAGCGGCAGAGUGUCCUGCAGGGCGCAGAGACCGUCAGUCCCGCACCCCAACCACAGGACAAAAUAAUGAAAGGGGAGACAGCUGGUCCCCCUCUCCACCAGCAGAGAGAGUGUCAGGGAGAGGAGCCUGAUACCCCUUCCCCCCAGCGGCAGUUUACAGUUCAGAGAGAGG